AGUGAAGAUCUAGCCAGCUGGGCAGUCCCCCGGUCCUACCAAAAACACUGAGAGACGCUGGCGGAAAGUAGGUUACUCGUCUUCACGGGAACAAACCCAAGAAUGUUUUUCCCUUCAACAGUCCUCCAUGGUCUGGCUAGUAAGAUCCUAGGUUUUCUGGUCGCUGAAAUGCUCGUGCGGUCAACAGCCUCAAUCCCUCACUUGGAGUUGCGCCUUCUUCAGUGUACCAGCCAGCGGGUAUUUGUGACAUCCAUUGCGAUAUUCCUUCCUGCAUUAUCUCUGACAAACACAUUUUUUUAUUGGUUACUAGGAACUUGAAGAAAAGGAAACAGUCUUCAACAACGGUAUUUUCUCUGACUCACGUUUAGCCAAACCCUGUGCUGCCUAAGACAGGGCUCCUCCUCACAGGCUUCUAGAGAAGAAUUCUUUAGGCUGCUGCAGGAGCCUACUUAGACAUUCUAGAGUGUACAAGUCCAGGGAGCAGAGGGCUUGAAAAACCAUCCAGCGGGACUCUAUUUGACAGGCCCUUGGUGUCUCUCUGUACUCAGAACUGAUGUGAAAAGCAAGGUGCUAUCAUGAAAAAUGCUGGAAUUAAGAACAGGUCACUAAUACAGCCCCACGAUCACCAGAGGCCUGCUCACAUUUUGAAGAUGAGGAAACAGCCUGACUUUUUUUCCCUAACCAACAUAGGUGAAGUUAACGAAUGACCAGACCAGAGUCCCAACAACCUAGCUUGAUCCUGAAGCUUCGCUGUCUUCCCCUAUGGCACUAUAUUGUUUGUGUUUGCAUCAGUCAGCAAAGAUUUCUUCUAUGUGGAGGACAAUGAAGUGGCAUUAGGUGGCAUGUGGGGACUUGGGAACCUGGCGCUUGUGAUGUAAGCAGAAGCUCCCUGUCUUCCUGAGAUACUGAAACCCAGUGCAGUAGUAAAUACCCAAGAAGACCCCUCCACCCACCAGUGUCUUAUAGUCACAUUGAUUUAAAAUC
Molecule: long non-coding RNA, 984 nt
Organism: Octodon degus (degu)
Lineage: Eukaryota; Metazoa; Chordata; Mammalia; Rodentia; Octodontidae
Exons: 3
Source: RefSeq, a predicted model, not a curated record